GGCUCGGUAGCUCAGUUGGUAGAGCAACGGAUUGAAGCUCCGUGUGUCGGCGGUUCGAUUUCGUCCCGCGCCC
This 73-nucleotide transfer RNA is filed under the name Limosilactobacillus reuteri. RNAcentral describes it as "Lactobacillus reuteri tRNA-Phe". It matches the Rfam family "tRNA". Rfam says of the family: Transfer RNA (tRNA) molecules are approximately 80 nucleotides in length. Their secondary structure includes four short double-helical elements and three loops (D, anti-codon, and T loops). The record is from RNAcentral. Lineage: Bacteria; Bacillati; Bacillota; Bacilli; Lactobacillales; Lactobacillaceae.